Molecule: long non-coding RNA, 414 nt
Organism: Paramisgurnus dabryanus
Lineage: Eukaryota; Metazoa; Chordata; Actinopteri; Cypriniformes; Cobitidae
Source: RefSeq, a predicted model, not a curated record
AUCACUUCUCAAACGUAAAAAGAGACAAAGCCAGUGAUAAAGUAAGUAUUUAUUUCAGUUUACAUUUAGCAGAUGUUUUAAUCCAAAGUCACUUAAGUUCUGAGGAUUAUAACACAAGGGAUUCAUCAUAUAUGGAGACAAUCAUAUCAGUAGUGAUGUAAUAAUAACACAAGUGGCUGAAAAAGUAUGUGAGAGACUGAAACUGAUGUGUGUUUAUUGACAGGACGACUCAUUGAAUCCUGAAUGUGAUGUGACGUACAGUUCUGUGGUUAAACCUCCCAAGACUAAAGCAUGUGGACCAGCAGAUGUAGAGGAAAAUGUGAUCUACAGCUCUGUGCGUGAAUAGGUGUUUGGUCUGGAUUAAAUUCCUGAGAAAAAUAUGAACCCAGAUGCCAGAGCAUGCAAAACAUCAAC